Molecule: ribosomal RNA, 450 nt
Filed under: uncultured bacterium
Lineage: Bacteria
Description: partial 16S ribosomal RNA
Rfam family: Bacterial small subunit ribosomal RNA
Source: RNAcentral
GUGGGGAAUUUUGGACAAUGGGCGCAAGCCUGAUCCAGCAAUGCCGCGUGCAGGAAGAAGGCCUUCGGGUUGUAAACUGCUUUUGUACGGAACGAAACGGUCCUGGCUAAUACCCGGGGCUAAUGACGGUACCGUAAGAAUAAGCACCGGCUAACUACGUGCCAGCAGCCGCGGUAAUACGUAGGGUGCGAGCGUUAAUCGGAAUUACUGGGCGUAAAGCGUGCGCAGGCGGUGCUGUAAGACAGGCGUGAAAUCCCCGGGCUCAACCUGGGGAUUGCGCUUGUGACUGCAGUGCUGGAGUGCGGCAGAGGGGGAUGGAAUUCCGCGUGUAGCAGUGAAAUGCGUAGAUAUGCGGAGGAACACCGAUGGCGAAGGCAAUCCCCUGGGCCUGCACUGACGCUCAUGCACGAAAGCGUGGGGAGCAAACAGGAUUAGAAACCCCGGUAGUCC